AACAAUGUAGUUUUGUCACAUGUUUUCAGAGUCAAAGAACUGCUGCUUUCCAUGGUAGCUAGGGAAGAAAAGAGAUCAAGAAGAUAUUACUGUUCCAAAACUUACAUCUUUUGGGAAGUGAACAGUGUAUACUGUACAUUGAACUCCUAGGGAAUGGAUAAAAACUGUAUUCAUAAUUGAGAACAGAGAAGGAUGUGGACACUUUAGAAAUACUCCAGAAGGGUAUUAUGGUCUAGACUAGGUUUGAUUGGUUGAUUGUUCUCUGUUACUGGAGCUUGACCCUAAGGGCUAACUGAGCUACCUCCCCAGCUCUUUCUGUUUUCAUUUUUAGAUAGAUAGAGUAAGUUGUCCUGUAAAUUGUCCAGGCCAGUCUUGACCACCCUACGAAGCUUCUGUCUCAGUCUCCCAGGCUUCUGGAAUUACAGGUGUGUGCCACCAUGCCUGAUUUAUACAUUUUAUAGAGGGGAUUACCACUGCUUGUGAGUACGUAAAACCAGAUUCCUAUAAUUGCCAUUGCUUUUAGCUGUUUUAGAAAUGGUUAGCAGUGCAAUUUCUGAUUAUUUUGAUGAUACUAUUUUGAUGGACUCAGACCUUAUUUCUGGCAUGUAGCCCCCAGUCAGUGGCUAGAGUACCUUUACCAUGCAUCACAGAUAGUUGAAUUAGGAUGAGCAAUCCAACUUCUAGGUUAUGUGGAAUGGGUGAAACAUGCAAAAUUCACUAUGUCGGUAGUUAAAAAUCACUAAGAAUUUUUUAAAGUAGCAAUUACUUUUGAAAAUAAACUUUUCUAAGUCAUGGGUAUGCAGGUUUUCAUCCCAUAUGUAAGGUGAAACCUUUCCAUUUUGAAGAUAUAUUUAUAGUCCUAAAUUCACGUAAGCAGAUGGUAACUACUUUCUGCCUUGCCUCAGUAUUUGUAGCAUCAGCAUUAUACGUUAAGGGCACACACCUUUAUGAAUCAUUGCACUCAUGCCAUGGAAGCAAUCAACAAAUGGAGUCAUUAUCUUUCCAGGCUCUUGACCUGGGUGCUGGGAACACAGUAGGUGUAAGACUCAGUCCCUCUUCAGCAUAUAGUUAGCUGGGGAGAAAAGGGAGUACCUUAAGUCCCAUGGGGUAGAUCAGACCUCCGGAGGUCUGAUUGGAAACCUCUGGGAGAACAUUGGUAAGUCGGAUUCCUUUGUAUCUGAUAAAGUCAGUCAUAUACUGUACACCUGUGAAAGUUUACCACUUGAAUGUUGUAAGUUGGGGACUUUAUAGAGAAAUGUCGAAGUCAAAGUAAGAUGUGCCUUACAGAGCACAAUCACUUGUACAAGGAGCAAUCAAAACAUACAGUGAAUGUGCAAAUUGUUAAAGAAUUUAUUGCAGUAAAAGAUGUCGAUUCCUCUCAAAAUAUACCUCCCUGAUUCAGAUACUGUUAAGAAUGAUGAGGUAAGUGCAUUUGAAGUUGGGGGAGGGCAGUAUUGAGGGGAUUAAUGGUUGUGUGUUACUGUGAUUCAUUUUUAAAUGUAAACCUUUUUUAAAAAAUCACUCCUUGUAUGUUAAAAUACUCUCAAGAACUUAAUCUCAGACCAGCUCUGUCUCCUUACAUCUGUUUCCCAUUCUGCCAAAGGGCAGGCACCAGCUAUUUUUAGGAUGCAGAAAGAUACAAAUUGAAAAAUAACAGUGAACAUCUGCCAGACUGGGGGCUCUUGAUUUGCUGAGGUUGUGGUAUUUGUCCAUUCAGUUUUUAACCACUUACCUUGCUGCAAGAGCAGAACAUGUUUCACUAGAAUGUAAUGUAGGGAAUUCUUUUGUUCCCUGCUGUAUCCCAAGUACCUAGAAAAGUUCCUAGCACAUUCUAGAUGUUAAUAAAUGCUUGUUGAAUGAAUGAACCAAUGAUUAUAAGUACCUUUUUUUAAAGUUCAGAAUUUUUGAAAAUAAAGGAUCCAUUGGAAAUAUGACAAAAUGUAUGAAGAAG
Heterocephalus glaber (naked mole-rat) is the source of this 1951-nucleotide long non-coding RNA. The record is from Ensembl. Lineage: Eukaryota; Metazoa; Chordata; Mammalia; Rodentia; Bathyergidae.